RNAcentral lists this ribosomal RNA (407 nucleotides) under uncultured bacterium. RNAcentral describes it as "partial 16S ribosomal RNA". It matches the Rfam family "Bacterial small subunit ribosomal RNA", at positions 360 to 774 of the family's 1533-position model. The record is from RNAcentral.
AAUAUUCCGCAAGGGAGGGAACUCUGACGCAGCGACGCCGCGUGAGCGAUGAAGGUCCUCGGAUCGUAAAGCUCUGUCCUUGGGGAAAAAGGUCUUCGGACUUCACGGUACCUAACGAGGAAGCCCCGGCUAACUACGUACCAGCGACCGCGGUAAUACGUACGGGGCAAGCGUUGUCCGGAAUUAUUGGGCGUAUAGGGUGCGUAGGCGGCCUGUUAAAUCAGGUAUGAAAGGCCACGGCUUAACCGUGGGACUGCAUUUGAAACUGGAGGGCUUGACUAUCGGAGAGGGUAGUGGAAUUCACAGUGUAGCGGUGGAAUGCGUAGAUAUUGGGAGGAACACCAGUGGCGAAGGCGACUACCUGGACGAAAACUGACGCUGAGGCACGAAAGCUAGGGGAGCAAACA